AGAUAGAAAGUUACUUCGGUACAUCGGUGACAGGUGGUGCAUGGUUGUCGUCAGCUCGUGUCGUGAGAUGUUGGUUAAGUCCCGCAACGAGCGCAACCCCUAUUGUUAGUUGCCAUCAUUCAGUUGGGCACUCUAGCGAGACUGCCGGUAAUAAACCGGAGGAAGGUGGGGAUGACGUCAAAUCAUCAUGCCCCUUAUGACCUGGGCUACACACGUGCUACAAUGGUUGGUACAACGAGUUGCGAGUCGGUGACGGCGAGCUAAUCUCUUAAAGCCAAUCUCAGUUCGGAUUGUAGGCUGCAACUCGCCUACAUGAAGUCGGAAUCGCUAGUAAUCGCGGAUCAGCACGCCGCGGUGAAUACGUUCCCGGGCCUU
RNAcentral lists this ribosomal RNA (375 nucleotides) under uncultured Streptococcus sp. RNAcentral describes it as "bacterial SSU rRNA". It matches the Rfam family "Bacterial small subunit ribosomal RNA", at positions 1004 to 1382 of the family's 1533-position model. Lineage: Bacteria; Bacillati; Bacillota; Bacilli; Lactobacillales; Streptococcaceae. The record is from RNAcentral.